GCGCCCAUCUCUUCGCGUCCAAUACCUUACCUCCGACGCCUUCGUCAUCCCCAAAAUCCCACACUUCUGACCUCAUUCAUCUUCGUAUCCAAAAGCAUCGCUGAUCUCCGCCAAUCUCUUCGCCAUCCCAGACCUCACCGCCAGUGCCCUCAUCAUCCCAUUCCUCAGCAUAACGCUCAUCGCCCCUCCCGACUCCGUGAUCGCCUUACACCCCCUGUUCGUGCUCGCAACGAGACACCCCUCCGUCGUCGCUAGACUAUCGUAGAUCAUUUUCAAUAGGAUCCACGUCAACAAACUUACACAACCAAGUAUUUCAGGCGCCCAGAUGUUCAAGAAGCUCUUCAUGCCAAUGUCACAAAAUUGUCGCGUCCUUAUUCCCUCUGCAGAAACUCAUCUAUGAAAGAAUUCGCAUGUGGAUCUUCAGGCAAGC
Asparagus officinalis (garden asparagus) is the source of this 430-nucleotide long non-coding RNA. RefSeq lists it as uncharacterized. NCBI's taxonomy places the organism in Eukaryota, Viridiplantae, Streptophyta, Magnoliopsida, Asparagales, Asparagaceae. The record is from RefSeq and is a predicted model, not a curated record. The transcript has 3 exons.